UAACAGGUCUUCGGAUGCUGACGAGUGGCGAACGGGUGAGUAAUACAUCGGAACGUGCCUAGUAGGGGGGGAUAACUACUCGAAAGAGUAGCUAAUACCGCAUGAGAUCUACGGAUGAAAGCAGGGGACCUUCGGGCCUUGUGCUACUAGAGCGGCUGAUGGCAGAUUAGGUAGUUGGUGGGGUAAAAGCUUACCAAGCCUGCGAUCUGUAGCUGGUCUGAGAGGACGACCAGCCACACUGGGACUGAGACACGGCCCAGACUCCUACGGGAGGCAGCAGUGGGGAAUUUUGGACAAUGGGCGAAAGCCUGAUCCAGCAAUGCCGCGUGCAGGAUGAAGGCCCUCGGGUUGUAAACUGCUUUUGUACGGAACGAAAAGCCUGGGGCUAAUAUCCCCGGGUCAUGACGGUACCGUAAGAAUAAGCACCGGCUAACUACGUGCCAGCAGCCGCGGUAAUACGUAGGGUGCAAGCGUUAAUCGGAAUUACUGGGCGUAAAGCGUGCGCAGGCGGUUUUGUAAGACAGUGGUGAAAUCCCCGGGCUCAACCUGGGAACUGCCAUUGUGACUGCAAGGCUAGAGUGCGGCAGAGGGGGAUGGAAUUCCGCGUGUAGCAGUGAAAUGCGUAGAUAUGCGGAGGAACACCGAUGGCGAAGGCAAUCCCCUGGGCCUG
RNAcentral lists this ribosomal RNA (670 nucleotides) under uncultured beta proteobacterium. RNAcentral describes it as "bacterial SSU rRNA". It matches the Rfam family "Bacterial small subunit ribosomal RNA", at positions 70 to 737 of the family's 1533-position model. Lineage: Bacteria; Pseudomonadati; Pseudomonadota; Betaproteobacteria. The record is from RNAcentral.